Molecule: long non-coding RNA, 1563 nt
Organism: Girardinichthys multiradiatus
Lineage: Eukaryota; Metazoa; Chordata; Actinopteri; Cyprinodontiformes; Goodeidae
Exons: 3
Source: RefSeq, a predicted model, not a curated record
GAGACGGCAGAGAGUGAGAGGGAAAAGGAGGGACAAGGUCAGAAAGAGCGCAAAAAUCUGCGGAGGGUCCAUUUUCUUUCCACCCAUCACUGGAGCAGUAUUUGGUUUUCUUCAACAAAAAGCUUAACAGAACAUAUUUUUGUUAUAUAAGAUUAGUUUCCACACAUAUUUAUGAUUUUUUUCAGCAUUGUGGUAAAUUUGAAUCCAUUUUGUGGCGCAAAUGCCUCACCAUUUUAAACGGAUCCAAAUAGGAGGUAAAAAACGAUUCUUCGAAAGGAGCUAAGAAAAAAAGCUUGAUCACAUGAUGAUGAUGUGGCGCAAAAAUCCCCAUUAAUCCGCAGCGCAGAUUCUCACUGGCAAGAGGAAGCGCUUCAUUCCGUAACAUAAUCCAACAAACUCCAACAGCCAGUGCAGGUAAAUAAAGAAUUAAUCCACGUGUCCUUUUUAAAAGGAGACCAUUUAAAGAACAUAUUAGUAAAAACUCCUUACAAAAAUAAUGAAAAUCCAAAGUGUUCUUUUUGUAAUUUAUAUGAAUUUGACAGGUUAAAUUCCCACUUAUGGCCGUUUCUAGCUCCACAUUAACCCUUUGUGCUAAUUUACGUGAUCUAAUAUUCAUUGCAUAUCACUGUGAGAUAUUGGUAUUAUUUUAAGAAGAAUUUAACAAUAACUUUGAAAUUAAAAGCAGAUACUCUGUAUAAAACUCUAUUAAAAUGUUAAUUAGUUUUUAUUUAACAAACCAAUCACAGCCAAUUUGUUUAAAAACUAUUAAGUAAGCCAGCCAAUCACUGCUCAGCCUUUACAGACGGGGACUCAGCACCCCUAAUCAAAGAGAACAGACCUGAGGCUCCGUUUUUUCUGCAAUAAUGACUUUUUAUGAAUUAUUUGGAGCCAGGAGAAAAUAAUGUGUGUGUUGGAGCUUUAAAAGCAGUGUAAACAUAUUUGUGAGUUAAAGCUCUGUCUGACCAGGAAGUGCCAGGCUCCUCUCACCUGUUUCCAUGCAGCACAGAGGCCAUCUUGAAUGUUUUCAAUCAGGACAGCAACGCUAGGCUAACACUAAAUAACCUUUAAUCCAUCACUAAAAUUGUUCCAAAAGCUUACAAGUUACAUUUUAAUGCCUGGUUUUGGAUUAUUUUCUGGCAUUUCAUUAUAUUGUCUGCUUUAAUUCCUCUACAGAGCUCUUCCUGUUGUUAAAAAUACUUCUCAAAGGUCCCAGGAGAUGAAAAUCUUCAAACAAUAACUGCACUAAUAUCUCAAAUAUCCAACAAUGAAGUGUUAUCCGGGGUUCUUUGUUUGUGAGUACUAUAAUAAAUAGGACAUCCCCUCUGCAGAAGCCCAGGGCCCAGAGAGCUGCCUUCCUGCCCAGCUAUGGCUCCCCCUAGCUACCUCUCCAUAUUUCCUUGUUAGUGCACUCCCUGAGCCUGACCCUCCCUGUCUAUGAAACACACUAAAUACAUUAAAAUACAGCUGAAAAGUUACAUUUUUCUCUAUAUAUCCCGAGUAAAGAGUCUCUAUUUGCCUCCCAGCCAACAAUGGGCACCAUUGGCCUCAGCAGAACAGAGGAUU